AUUGAACGCUGGCGGCAGGCCUAACACAUGCAAGUCGAGCGGAUGAAGGGAGCUCGCUCCUGGAUUCAGCGGCGGACGGGUGAGUAAUGCCUAGGAAUCUGCCUGGUAGUGGGGGAUAACGUCCGGAAACGGGAGCUAAUACCGCAUACGUCCUGAGGGAGAAAGUGGGGGUUCUUCGGAGCUCACGCUACUUGAUGAGCCUAGGUCGGAUUAGCUAGUUGGUUGGGUAAAGGCCUACCAAGGCGACGAUCCGUAGCUGGUCUGAGAGGAUGAUCAGUCACACUGGAACUGAGACACGGUCCAGACUCCUACGGGAGGCAGCAGUAGGGAAUAUUGGACAAUGGGCGAAAGCCUGAUCCAGCAAUGCCGCGUGUGUGAAGAAGGUCUUCGGAUUGUAAAGCACUGUAAGUUGGGAGGAAGGGAAGUAAGUUAAUACCUUGCUAUUUUGACGGUACCAACAGAAUAAGCACCGGCUAACUUCGUG
This 484-nucleotide ribosomal RNA is filed under the name uncultured bacterium. RNAcentral's name for it is "partial 16S ribosomal RNA". It matches the Rfam family "Bacterial small subunit ribosomal RNA", at positions 30 to 507 of the family's 1533-position model. The record is from RNAcentral.